AUUGAACGCUGGCGGCAGGCCUAACACAUGCAAGUCGAGCGGAUGAAGGGAGCUUGCUCCUGGAUUCAGCGGCGGACGGGUGAGUAAUGCCUAGGAAUCUGCCUGGUAGUGGGGGAUAACGUCCGGAAACGGGCGCUAAUACCGCAUACGUCCUGAGGGAGAAAGUGGGGGAUCUUCGGACCUCACGCUAUCAGAUGAGCCUAGGUCGGAUUAGCUAGUUGGUGGGGUAAAGGCCUACCAAGGCGACGAUCCGUAACUGGUCUGAGAGGAUGAUCAGUCACACUGGAACUGGGACACGGUCCAGAGUCCUACGGGAGGCAGCAGUGGGGAAUAUUGGACAAUGGGCGAAAGCCUGAUCCAGCCAUGCCGCGUGUGUGAAGAAGGUCUUCGGAUUGUAAAGCACUUUAAGUUGGGAGGAAGGGCAGUAAGUUAAUACCUUGCUGUUUUGACGUUACCAACAGAAUAAGCACCGGCUAACUUCGUG
RNAcentral lists this ribosomal RNA (484 nucleotides) under uncultured bacterium. Its description in RNAcentral is "partial 16S ribosomal RNA". It matches the Rfam family "Bacterial small subunit ribosomal RNA", at positions 30 to 507 of the family's 1533-position model. The record is from RNAcentral.